UGGGGUAUAUUGCACAAUGGGGGAAACCCUGAUGCAGCGACGCCGCGUGAACGAAGAAGGUAUUCGUAUCGUAAAGUUCUGUCCUAUGGGAUGAUAAUGACAGUACCAUAGAAGAAAGCUCCGGCUAAAUACGUGCCAGCAGCCGCGGUAAUACGUAUGGAGCGAGCGUUGUCCGGAAUUAUUGGGCGUAAAGGGUACGCAGGCGGUUUAAUAAGUCGAAUGUUAAAGAUCGGGGCUCCACCCCGCAAAGCAUUGGAAACUGAUAAACUUGAGUAGUGGAGAGGAAAGUGGAAUUCCUAGUGUAGUGGUGAAAUACGUAGAUAUUAGGAGGAAUACCCGUAGCGAAGGCGACUUUCUGGACACAAACUGACGCUGAGGUACGAAAGCGUGGGGAGCAAACAGG
This 403-nucleotide ribosomal RNA is filed under the name bacterium. Its description in RNAcentral is "partial 16S ribosomal RNA". It matches the Rfam family "Bacterial small subunit ribosomal RNA", at positions 355 to 776 of the family's 1533-position model. The record is from RNAcentral.